CCAGGCGGCAGAUGGCGGGAGGGAAACACCCGGUUCCAUCCCGAACCCGGAACUUAACCCCCCCAGCGCCGAUGGUACUGGGGGGAUUCCCCGGGGGAGUAGGUCUCCGCCUGGU
This 115-nucleotide ribosomal RNA is filed under the name Candidatus Bipolaricaulota bacterium. The record is from RNAcentral. Lineage: Bacteria; Candidatus Bipolaricaulota.